GCGAGGACGUGCUGAAACACUACACAGAAACGGGCAAGCACUCAGAAGCAUUUCGUUUGCCUUGAUCCUGGAGGCGCGCGGCCGUCUCCCGCUGCCGAGGAUUUGACGCGAACUCCUGGCAGAUCAGAAAUGUUCAGGCGAACGGCGGUCAUGUUUGUCCGUGGACCCAAGACUUCGUUGACGGGCAAAUAUGGAACACUGCAACAAGGACUGGUGUGGAUAGCGUGCUGCGCUAGGCUCGCCAAUUAAAAAGAAUUCUGUGACAUAACGAGCCAACAAUGAAAACCUCGAUCCACCCUGUCUCCACAUAUUAUCUAGUUUGUGCGCUGUGGAGCUUGAAGCACUUCUCAGAAUUUCAGCACACUCGCAUUUAUUGUAA
Rhipicephalus sanguineus (brown dog tick) is the source of this 379-nucleotide long non-coding RNA. RefSeq lists it as uncharacterized. NCBI's taxonomy places the organism in Eukaryota, Metazoa, Arthropoda, Arachnida, Ixodida, Ixodidae. The transcript has 4 exons. The record is from RefSeq and is a predicted model, not a curated record.